This is a long non-coding RNA of Paramisgurnus dabryanus, 1092 nucleotides long. RefSeq lists it as uncharacterized. The record is from RefSeq and is a predicted model, not a curated record. NCBI's taxonomy places the organism in Eukaryota, Metazoa, Chordata, Actinopteri, Cypriniformes, Cobitidae.
UGAUCAAACUCAAGUCAAGAAACUCUAAGUACAGAUGAUUUGUUUAAAGUUAUAUGUAUUUUACUGUUGUAUUUACUUGAAGCUUUCUUAGAUUUUGAAACGAAGUAAACACGUAAUGUGUGUUGCUAAUGUUGGGCCAUGUAAUAUGUAAUACAUUUACGUUUUAAUGAAUAGUCUAACGAUUUAUAGUCGUUGUACUCUAUUGUUAUAAUAUGUCUUUUUGACUGAAUACAUGUUUGUUUUAUUUGUCUAUAUCCUAGAUUCGCAGCUGGACACAUCCUUCUACACUGUAUGCAAACAUGCAACAUCAUUACACACAGUACAAGGAGUCAGACUGGCAUAUGAGGAGCAAAGGAACCCAGGCAGUAGCAUCGUUUCACAAUGUUUCCAUCACCAUCAUCAGUGGAUGCCUUUGCCGUCCGUAGCCUGAGAUUUCAGAUUUGCAGCAAAAAAUGUGACUUUCCCAUUUAUUGGAAUGCUGUGCAGGUUGUACCUUGCAGCCAUCCAUUACAAUGUCACCAAGCCGUAACAAAAGCAGGAGAGGGAAAGUACAAGGCUAUGUUCCCAAAACACACAAAUGACAUACCUUAUGUGGAGGAUGUGAACAGGCUUGUGUUUGAUGAGGUAUUUGAAGAUAAGCUGAAGGAAACCCCGAUUCCAAUGGACCUGGCAUCACAGUUUGAGAGACCUUCAAAGGAGGACGUGAUUGCAUGCCAUCUUCAGUGCAGGGGUCGUCGGAAGCCAACAUUCCGAUCAGGAAGCUCCAAGCAUAUCUGGAGAACAACACACGACAGGAUGAUAACCCUAAAGUGUCAUCUUAGAUAGCAUCAGCUGACAAAGCUUUGAUAUGCCAUUUAUCUGAAUAGAUAGCUGUAAGAAGUGAAUUGAACAAUUUUUGAAAGAGCACAAUAUGGUUACUAAAGUAUGUUUAUUUGUAUAUUGUUUAACAUUUAAAUAUAUAUUUGUAAUAAAUAAACUUUUGACUGACUACUAUAUUUUCUUUAAAGUUACAUCUUUUGUUCUUUUGGGUACUUUGUUACUAUAAUGAUACUUUAGUGUUAUUGGUUUAAAAAUGUAAUAAAACUUACUCUA